GGGACUUUUACGCAGCGUAUCCUCAUCAUUCUUCCAAACAUACUUGAUUUGUGCUUCCUCAUACGAAACUGCAAAAGAGAGACGGAGAAAGCGAGAAGCGACUCACGUACACGGCACACGGACGCGAUGCCUUGUAAGCUUUGAGCUUAGCGUAACCGCAGGAAAACGGAGAAGGAAUGUCGAUGCACUAAUAAUUUGAAUCAAAAUGGAUUGCCAUUGGUUUUAUUUGUUUUGUAAUUUUGUAAAGACUUCAUUUGCACUUCAUUAACUUUAAUUGGUUUGCUGGUAGAUCAAUGUUAUUUAAAUUAGA
Molecule: long non-coding RNA, 310 nt
Organism: Drosophila nasuta
Lineage: Eukaryota; Metazoa; Arthropoda; Insecta; Diptera; Drosophilidae
Exons: 2
Source: RefSeq, a predicted model, not a curated record